UGAAUAGGGACAGUCGGGGGCAUCAGUAUUCAGUUGUCAGAGGUGAAAUUCUUGGAUCUACUGAAGACUAACUACUGCGAAAGCAUUUGCCAAGGAUGUUUUCAUUAAUCAGGAACGAAAGUUAGGGGAUCGAAGACGAUCAGAUACCGUCGUAGUCUUAACCAUAAACUAUGCCGACUAGGGAUCGGACGAUGUUAUUUAGUUGACUCGUUCGGCACCUUACGAGAAAUCAAAGUGCUUGGGCUCC
Molecule: ribosomal RNA, 247 nt
Filed under: Staphylococcus aureus
Lineage: Bacteria; Bacillati; Bacillota; Bacilli; Caryophanales; Staphylococcaceae
Description: partial 16S ribosomal RNA
Rfam family: Eukaryotic small subunit ribosomal RNA
Source: RNAcentral